Molecule: unclassified non-coding RNA, 274 nt
Filed under: Hevea brasiliensis (rubber tree)
Lineage: Eukaryota; Viridiplantae; Streptophyta; Magnoliopsida; Malpighiales; Euphorbiaceae
Source: RNAcentral
GAUACCUUACACAUUCAUGUUUCUUACAAAAUUUUGCAUUGAGUAAAAUAUGAAAUUGCAUUUUCCAAAUAUGGAUAUUUAAUCCUUAAUUAAGGAAUAGUCCCCAAUUUAUAGGGCACUCUUCAUUUAUAUUCACACGAAAAUUUUUACUAAAUAGGGGUAGACAAACAAAUUUGAUUUUUUAAAUAUUUUAAAACUAAAUAAAAAAUUUAAUCCUAAUAAAUUUAAACUGUUAGAAUCGAUUAUUUCAUUAAAAUGGAAUUCAAAUUCUAAA